AAGGCGGUUUGGUUAAUCUACGGGGAACGAUGUGAUUAAUGUAUGCACAUAUGUACUGCCUAAUGAGUUUUGAUCUAUAUCAUAUUAAACAAAAGAAUGGCGUAGUUAUAGGAUUACUUCGAAUGAUUAUUACUUCCAGGCACCUCUCAAUACCUGAUAAGCUCUACUUGAGCUGUCUCCGCAUAACGGGAGAUUUUAUGGACUUCUGUAGGUACUUACCUCUGCAGUAAAAAUAAUGGUGAUGAGACGAAAAAAUCAGAGAUGAUUUUAAAUGGGAUGUUUUAUGUUUUCGUUGUGGUAUGGGGCAUCAAAGAAGAAUAAAAGGAGAGUUUUUACCCUUGACAGGUGUUUAUAGAGAUUUUUAGAGUAAUACACAACGUACAGCAAACAUCUGUAUCUCCUGUACUGAAAUGAAAUUAAUUUUAACGACGGAAAAAUAUACAGAUGCUUGCAGUAAGUGGCCCUUCUCACAACGCUGAUGGUAUGUGAUUGCUAAUAAUUUUUGGAGAAGCACUUGAGUCAAGUAGAGCCAAAUAGCCGUUUCAUAUAUGUGUAACGUUCUUGUAAAUAUUGAUGUGGGUAUUACAUAACAGUUUGUGUCUUUUAUAUGUUUUUUACAGUAUAUUUUCAAUAAUUUUUAUGUGAAAUUUAAAAGAUAUCAAGGCAUGUAUUGAUUUAAACCUUGGUGAUACAACAUGUUUAUGUAAACAGCAGACUCUCUCUCUUAUCUUUAUUACUGUAGGGGAUGUAGGUACCUGUAUACUAAAAAUAGAUUGUCCUGGCUGACCAUUGGUCAGUUUCUAUUACGUGAUAGAUAAAGGGGAGAUUUCAGUUCUAAGACACACAGAAGGAUCGAGCAUUUACAAAUAAAUAAAUUGUGUUCAUUUUAACCUGUAUUUUUUUUAUAUAUAAUUAUUUCUUAGAGUUAAAAGUUUAAGGUUUUUAUUAUUUUAGUUCUUGAAUUUACAAAGGACCUAAAUACUUGACAGUGUUUAUAUUCUGUUGUGAGAACAUGGAAGAGGUGUGUAAUUUUCUUCUUUAACCUGUUUGCUCAGUGGAUCAAGUUUUAUAACUUAGUGUAUUGUUUAGGUCUGAUAAGCCACUCUGGUAUACAUGAUUACCAUGGUGUUAGGGGAUAUAGUAAAUUAAGUGAAUCUUAUCUAAGUACCUAAAGUUUUAGCAACUUAGUGAUUUUCUUAUAUUGUGUUACUUGAAGUGUUAAAGUGACUGAGUACCAAAAGUUUACGCAACUUAGUGGUUUUCUUAUAUCGUGUUACUUGAAGUGUUAAAGUGACUGAGUACCAAAAGUUUCAGCAUCUUAGUGAUUUUCUUAUAUUGUGUUACUUGAAGUGUUAAAGUGACUGAGUACCAAAAGUUUUAGCAACUUAGUGAUUUUCUUAUAUCGUGUUACUUGAAGUGUUAAAGUGACUGAGUACCUAAAGUUUUAGCAACUUAGUGAUUUUCUUAUAUUGUGUUACUUGAAGUGUUAAAGUGUCUAAGUACUUAAAGUUUUAGCAACUUAGUGAUUUUCUUAUAUUGUGUUACUUGAAGUGUUAAAGUGACUGAGUACCAAAAGUUUUAGCAACUUAGUGAUUUUCUUAUAUUGUGUUACUUGAAGUGUUAAAGUGUCUUAGUACUUAAAGUUUUAACAACUUAAUGAUUUUCUUAUUUUGUGUUACUUGGAGUGUUAAAGUAUUUAAGUACUUAAAGUUUUAACAACUUAGUACUUUUCUUACACGGUGUUACUUGAAGUUGUAUUUCUUGAUGUGAUAACGGGGCCAAGCCGUAAACUAAGAAAAUAUUCAGGCUUUUCCUCCAUUACUUGUUUGCUUUUACACUUUACACUUUACAAUAACAUAUCAUAACAAAUAUACUGAAACUAAAAUUAUAAUUAUACUUACCCGUAGGCUUCUCCGGUCCAAUUAAUAAGAACUUUGUUCACCAAAUAACACGUUUCUAAUCAAUUAUGGUUAUUUACCCAUUGAGUAAACGGUAAACGUAAGCCGAUAAUACAAUCAAUUUUCAUCAUAAAGGCCUUUGUCAAACGUAACAAUUUCGACCAAGUGUCGUACUUCAUAUGAAAAUUAGACCAAGUGUCGGAUUCGGCUAAGUGUCGGAUUCGGCCAUGUUUCAUCUUCGACGAAGUGUCAUAUUCGACCAAGUGUCUUUCGACCAAGUGUCGUGCACCGGGGGC
This is a long non-coding RNA of Mercenaria mercenaria, 2194 nucleotides long. RefSeq lists it as uncharacterized. The record is from RefSeq and is a predicted model, not a curated record. Lineage: Eukaryota; Metazoa; Mollusca; Bivalvia; Venerida; Veneridae. The transcript has 4 exons.